Molecule: long non-coding RNA, 3330 nt
Filed under: Homo sapiens (human)
Lineage: Eukaryota; Metazoa; Chordata; Mammalia; Primates; Hominidae
Description: novel transcript
Source: RNAcentral
GGCUUUCUGGUAUGGCGCGGCCUUUGUCUCUUGCUGCCGCUGGAGCUCCAGAUCUCUUGUUCACUGCUCUGUGUUCUCUGCUCAUAGAGGCCCAGCCUCUGAGGCCCUUUGACCUGCAGGUAUUGGGAGAUCCACAGCCAAGAGCCAGGACCCCCUAGAAGUCUAGAAAUGAACUGAUCACCUGUCUGGAGCAAGGAAAAAAACCUCUGACCGUGAAGAGACAUGAGAUGAUUGCCAAACCCCCAGUUAUUUGUUCUCAUUUUGCCCAAGAACUUUGGCUAGAGCAGAACAUAAAAGAUUCUUUUCAAAAAGUGAUACUGAGAAGAUAUAAAAAAUGUGGACAUGGCAAUUUACAGUUAAAAAAAGGAUGUGAAAGUGUGGAUGAGUGUAAGGUGCAAAAAAGAGGUUAUAAUGGGCUUAACCAAUGCUUGACAACUACCCAUUGCAAAAUAUUUCAAUGUGAUAAAUAUGUGAAAGUCUUUCAUCAAUUUUCAAAUUCAAACAGACAGAAGACGUACUGUAAAAAAACCUUUGAAACAUAUAGAAUGUGGCAAAUCUUUUAACCAGUCCUCAACCCUUACUACACAUAAGAAAAUUCAUACUGGAGAGAAACCCUACAAAUGUGAAGAAUGUGGCAAAGACUUUAACUGGUACUCAACCUUUACUACAGAUAAGAUAACUCAUACUGGAGAGAAACCCUAAAAAUGUGAAGAAUGUGGCAAAGCCUUUAAGUACUCCUGUACCCUUACUACACAUAAGAUAAUUCAUACUGGAGAGAAAUCCCACAAAUGUGAGGAGUGUGGCAAAGCCUUUAACUGGUCCUCACAGCUUGCUAUUCAUAAGAUAACUCAUACUGGAGAGCAACCCUACAAACGUAAAGAAUGCAGCAAAGCUUUUAACCAUCCCACAACCCCUUCUUCACAUAAGAAAACUCAUACUGGAGAGAAACCAUGCAAGUGUGAUAAAUGUGGCAAAGCCUUUAUUUUUUCCUCAACCCUUAGUAAACAUGAGAAGAUUCAUACUGGAGAGAAACCCUACAAAUGUGAAGAAUGUGGCAAAGCCUUCAGAUGGUCCUCACACCUAACUACACAUAAGAUAACUCAUACUGGAGAGAAACCCUACAAAUGUGAAGAAUGUGGCAAUGGCUUUAAGUAUUCCUCUACGCUUACUGAACAUAAGAUAAUCCAUACUGGAGAGAAAUCCUACAAAUGUGAAGAGUGUGGCAAAGCCUUUAACUGGCCCUCACAGCUUGCUAUUCAUAAGAUAACUCAUACUGGAGAGCAACCCUACAAAUGUAAAGAAUGUGGCAAAGCUUUUAAACAUCCUGCAACCCUUUCUUCACAUAACAAAACUCAUACUGGAGAGAAACCAUACAAGUGUGAUAAAUGUGGCAAAGCCUUUAUUUCAUCCUCAACCCUUAGUAAACAUGAGAAGAUUCAUACUGGAGAGAAACCCUACAAAUGUGAAGAAUAUGGCAAAGCUUUCACCCAUUCCUCACACCUUACUAGGCAUAAGAAAAUUCAUGCUGGAGAGAAACCAUACAAGUGUGAUAAAUGUGGCACAGCCUUUAUUUUAUCCUCAACCCUUAGUGAACAUGAGAAGAUUCAUACUGGAGAGAAACUCUACAAAUGUGAAGAAUGUGGCAAAGCCUUCAACCAUUUUUCACACCUUACUAUACAUAAGACAAUUCAUACUGGAGAGAAAUGCUAUAAAUGGUAUAAAAACCUUUACAUGGUCCUCAAGCCCCCAUAAACAUAGGAGAACUCAUACUGGAGAGAAACCUUACAAAUGUGAAGAAUGUGGCAAAGCCUUUACUGCAUCCUCAACUCUAAGUGAAUAUAAGACAAUUCAUACUGGAGAGAAACCUUGCAAAUGUGAAGAAUGUGGCAAAGCUUUUAACUGGUCCUCAGACUUCAAUAAACAUAAGAGAAUUCAUAGUGGACAGAAACCAAUACUGUAACAAAGCUUUAUUUAUUUAUUUAUCUAUUUAUUUAUUUAUUUAUUUAUUUAUUUUUGAGAUGGAGUUUCACUCUUGUUGUCCAGGCUGGAGUGCAAUGGCGCAAUCUUGGCUCACCUUCACCUCCAUCUCCCAGGUUCAAGCGAUUCUCCUGCCACAGCCUUCCUGUGUAGCUAAGAUUACAGGCAUGCACCACCACACCUGGCUAAUUUUGUAUUUUUAGUACAGAUGGGGUUUCUCCAUGUUGGUUAGGCUGGUCUUCAGCUGCCAACCUCAAGUGAUCCACCCAUCUCAGCCUCCCAAAUUGCCAGGAUUACAGGCACAAGCCACUGCACCAGGCUGACAAACCUCUUUGUAAGGAAGUUCUCAACACUUAUUACACAUAAUUCAUACUGGACAGAAACCCUACAGGUGUGAAGAAUUUGGCAAAGCCUAUAACAAGUUCUCAAUUUUUUUUUUCUUUUUUUGAGAUGCAGUUUCACUAUUGUGACCCAGGCUGGAGUGCAAUGGCAUGAUCUUGGCUCACUGCAACCUUCGUCUCCUGGGUAGCUGGGAUUACAGGUACCCACAAUGACACCCAGCUAAUUUUUGUAGUUUUAGUAGAGAUGGGGUUUUGCCAUAUUUGCCAGGCUCGUCUCAAACUCCUGACUUCAGUUGAUCCACCCACUUUGGCCUCCUAAAGUGCUGGGAUUACAGGCAUGAGCCUCCAUUCCUAGCCAUAAGUUCUCAAUUCUUAAGAGACAUGGCAAUAAUUCAUGCUGAAGAGGAACUCUACAAACCUGAAAGAUGUGACAGUGCUGUUCCCAACACCUCCAACGUUUCUAUACAUAAAAAAAUUAUACUAGUGUGAAACUGUAGAAAAGUAUAAAAUGUGACAAAGCCUUUAUUUGGUUGCCACACUUGAUAAAUAUAAAAAUAAAAAAUUGUUUAAAAUUAUUUGUAUAUAGCUUUAAAAGGAGAUUUUUGGAAGCAUUGUAAUUACAUUAAAAGUAUACUUGUUUUCUUGAAAAAAAGUUUUUCAAAAGUGAAUAAUGAUGUCAUACAGCUUUCAAAUUACUUUAUGCUGUUAUUUUAUUCCUAUUCACAUGUGAAAACAUAUGAGCAAUUUUUGCUGCAUCAGAGAUACCAGAGAUUCUUUUUUUAUUGGGCAUUAUUUAUAACCUUUUCUAUAAAAGUAAGGACACUAAAAUGUAAGAUGCAUGAUGAAAAGAUAAGUGGAGAGGCUCAUUGUAGUUAACCUAUAUUAAGUAAUGUAUAAGCUAGGUGUUCAGACUAUUUUCUACAUUAUGGUGGAAUUGUUAAUUAUAGUUAAAAGUAUAUUAAAAUAAGUAUAUUAUUAAUUGUACUUUUAUGUAAUAAAAUGCAGUAUAUUU